RNAcentral lists this long non-coding RNA (822 nucleotides) under Pan troglodytes (chimpanzee). RNAcentral describes it as "lincRNA". Lineage: Eukaryota; Metazoa; Chordata; Mammalia; Primates; Hominidae. The record is from RNAcentral.
AAUCAGAGUCCACAUAUGUUCGGGGGAGGGACCCCAGAAGGCGGCUGACAGUAUUCCUUUAGCCAGAAAUCCCUUCAGGGAAGAGAAAGGUGCUCCCCUUUGCCUGCUUUUAUACUACAGACUGUUUCCAACUCCAGCUAGAAGUGACUAUUGCCGAUUAUGCUAAUCAGUGGUGACAAGCUCCCUUUGACUGCUCACUUCUCCAGUGAGGCUUCAAGCUUCUAGGCAUCAAGAUUAGUAAGGCUGUCUUCUGGGUGGGCCAGUUUGUUUCUCAGUGACACGAAAACAUUGCCUGGGGUGUGCACUGGUAUUUUCCAGAAAAUAUUUCAAGCAGAAUAUACUUAUUUUCCAGUUUUGAAAACAACUAGAUUGCCCAUCUCCAUUUCUCUCUAUCAUCUACUGUAUUAUUCUAUGGACAACUGCCACCCUAAUAAGGUCAAGAAGGGAAGCCAGAAGUCAAGGCCACAGAAGACACAGGAAACAUCAUUUCCAAAGUGGGAGACAAAGCUGUUAACAGGAAAUUAUUUGUAAAGUCAAGAGCCAAGCAAAACAGAAAAAGGACAAGAAAUCUAUCACCUAUGGGUAUGAAUGGUUCUAGGGAAGUCUGUUGACAAUUGGAGGGUCUCAAAGGCACUUUAUGGUACUUAUUUUAUGACCCUGAGUCUGGAGUCUGAUGAAUUAAAGAGGAAAUUCUGCUCUGGGCAACAUUUAAGAGAUAGUAUCUCCAGGCAGUAACUUUCGUAUUAACUCUCAUAAGAUUGAUGCCAUUCUGUCAUCUAAAGUGUGGACAAAAAUAGCAUUAAAGCAAAAUGAAAGGAUAUA